UUGCUUGCUUUCCUCAUCAAUCACAUACCACCUUACCUAGCUAGACGCUUUUCUCAAUUGACAUCUAGUGACCACUUCUCUCUUAUACUUUGCCGUCUUGGUCCCAUAUUCAAUGUUGACUCAAGCUGCUGCUCAAAA
Molecule: non-coding RNA, 138 nt
Organism: Caenorhabditis elegans
Lineage: Eukaryota; Metazoa; Nematoda; Chromadorea; Rhabditida; Rhabditidae
Source: Ensembl